Molecule: unclassified non-coding RNA, 259 nt
Filed under: uncultured fungus
Lineage: Eukaryota; Fungi
Also listed under: 1 other name
Description: sequence contains ITS2
Rfam family: 5.8S ribosomal RNA (bases 1-52)
Source: RNAcentral
AACGCACAUUGCGCCCUUUGGUAUUCCGAAGGGCAUGCCUGUUCGAGCGUCAUUAUCAACCCUCAAGCCUGGCUUGUUGUUGGACCUCAGGUCGCCGCUCCGGUGGACCGGUCUCAAAGACAAUGACGGCGUCCGUGGGACCCUCGGUGCAAUGAGCUUCUUCCAAAGCACGCAUCAGAGUGGGCUCGCGGGGGCCGUCUCCCCGUCAUAUUUUAUCAAGGUUGACCUCGGAUCAGGUAGGAAUACCCGCUGAACUUAA